RNAcentral lists this ribosomal RNA (245 nucleotides) under uncultured bacterium. RNAcentral describes it as "partial 16S ribosomal RNA". It matches the Rfam family "Bacterial small subunit ribosomal RNA", at positions 524 to 768 of the family's 1533-position model. The record is from RNAcentral.
UACGGAGGAUCCGAGCGUUAUCCGGAUUUAUUGGGUUUAAAGGGUGUGUAGGCGGAUUAGUAAGUCAGCGGUGAAAGCCUGCAGCUUAACUGCAGAAUUGCCAUUGAUACUGCUAGUCUUGAGUACAGUUGAAGUGGGUGGAAUGUGUUGUGUAGCGGUGAAAUGCAUAGAUAUAACACAGAACACCAAUAGCGAAGGCAGCUCACUAAACUGCAACUGACGCUGAGGCACGAAAGCGUGGGUAG